GUAAAAUAAAACAAAUAAACCAAGCAACAUAAUGAAAAAGGUGGUAAAAUGGAUAAGUAGAAGAAAUUGCUCUGCUGCUUUCGUAGAAGAAAUGAGAAACAAAGAAGAUGAGGGAGUGCGAAAGAAAUGACUUUUGGGUCUUGGCAGAUAAAGCAGAGAUUAAACCCAGCUUCCUCCAUCAGGUGAAGGGCAAGAAUCGUAUGCACGCUCAGAAUGGAUUUAGGGGCGCUUGGCACGAUUUGGUUUAAUAUGGUUAACAAUUUGAGGGUAUUCCACACUUCUAGGAGUCAAGGAGCACCGCUUGUCGAGCUGUCCACAUGGAGUCAAUAGGAUAUUUGUAAUGUAUUUGUACAUUUGUAAAUUAUGAUGUAAUUAGCAAAGUAUGGAAAUCCAAAGGUAGGUGUUACAAUAUCCUUAACGUGUUUGGGCAUAGAUUUUCAACAAUUUUGAAAGACAAAUUUUGAAGA
Long non-coding RNA from Tripterygium wilfordii, 467 nucleotides. RefSeq lists it as uncharacterized. The transcript is spliced from 3 exons. Lineage: Eukaryota; Viridiplantae; Streptophyta; Magnoliopsida; Celastrales; Celastraceae. The record is from RefSeq and is a predicted model, not a curated record.